Empidonax traillii (willow flycatcher) is the source of this 180-nucleotide long non-coding RNA. RefSeq lists it as uncharacterized. Lineage: Eukaryota; Metazoa; Chordata; Aves; Passeriformes; Tyrannidae. The transcript is spliced from 3 exons. The record is from RefSeq and is a predicted model, not a curated record.
GUCCCCUACGUCAGACAGGGAGGAGGAGGCCCCCGAAGUGAGGGAGCCAGCAUGCCUGCUGUGUGGACAAUCAGAGGCUGACCUGGACAUCUGUGGAGAAAAACUCCAGAAAAGUUGGCUCUGUGCCCACGAGUUCUGUCUGUUUUUUGCCAGCCACCUUUCUCACCACCCCACUGAUCA